AGCAGCCGCGGUAAUUCCAGCUCCAAUAGCGUAUAUUAAAGUUGUUGCAGUUAAAAAGCUCGUAGUUGAAUUUCGGGGUUCAUACAUUGGUCGGGCUAUUUGGUCUGUACUUAUGUAAUGGAUUCCUACCUUCUGAAUAACCGGCAUGUCAUUAAUUUGGUGCGCCGGGGAAGCAGGACUGUUACCUUGAAAAAAUUAGAGUGCUUAAAGCAGGCUAUCGCCUGAAUACAUUAGCAUGGAAUAAUGAAAUAGGACGGCAUGGUUCUAUUUUGCUGGUUUCUAGGAUCACCGUAAUGAUUAAUAGGGAUAGUUGGGGCAUUAGUAUUCAAUUGUCAGAGGUGAAAUUCUUGGAUUUAUUGAAGACUAACUU
RNAcentral lists this ribosomal RNA (370 nucleotides) under uncultured Acaulospora. Its description in RNAcentral is "SSU rRNA". It matches the Rfam family "Eukaryotic small subunit ribosomal RNA", at positions 569 to 942 of the family's 1831-position model. Lineage: Eukaryota; Fungi; Glomeromycota; Glomeromycetes; Diversisporales; Acaulosporaceae. The record is from RNAcentral.